GGGUGAAAUGGAGGACUUCGGUCCUCAAAUUUCACCC
Molecule: unclassified non-coding RNA, 37 nt
Filed under: Pan troglodytes (chimpanzee)
Lineage: Eukaryota; Metazoa; Chordata; Mammalia; Primates; Hominidae
Description: RNA (37-MER) from Pan troglodytes (PDB 2LHP, chain A)
Source: RNAcentral